RNAcentral lists this non-coding RNA (40 nucleotides) under Pycnococcus provasolii. The record is from RNAcentral. Lineage: Eukaryota; Viridiplantae; Chlorophyta; Pseudoscourfieldiophyceae; Pseudoscourfieldiales; Pycnococcaceae.
ACUCACCACCUCAGAUACAACCACGCACUGUACCCUACAC